This 505-nucleotide ribosomal RNA is filed under the name uncultured bacterium. RNAcentral describes it as "bacterial SSU rRNA". It matches the Rfam family "Bacterial small subunit ribosomal RNA", at positions 35 to 507 of the family's 1533-position model. The record is from RNAcentral.
AGUAAGGAGAGGUAAUGGCAGGCGGAGUAGGUAAAGAGGUAUCGAGUGGGCAGUGAGCUGAGUGCCGGAUAGCGGCGGACGGGUGAGUAACGCGUGGGUAAUCUACCCAUAAGAGGGGGAUAACACUGGGAAACCGGUUGCUAAUACCGCAUAAGCUAUUCGGUAUGCAUGUACUGGAUGUAAAGGUGGCCUCUGGAGCAAGCUACCGCUUAUGGAUGAGCCCGCGUCUGAUUAGCUAGUUGGUGGGGUAACGGCCUACCAAGGCGACGAUCAGUAGCCGGCCUGAGAGGGUGGACGGCCACACUGGGACUGAGACACGGCCCAGACUCCUACGGGAGGCAGCAGUGGGGAAUAUUGCGCAAUGGGGGGAACCCUGACGCAGCGACGCCGCGUGAGCGACGAAGGCCUUCGGGUUGUAAAGCUCUUUUAUUAGGGACGAAAUCCCGCAUGCGAAUAGUGUGUGGGGAUGACGGUACCUAAUGAAUAAGCCCCGGCUAACUACGUG